CGGACGGGCGAGUAACGCGUGAGCAACCUGUCCUUUCAGAGGGGGACAACGGCUGGAAACGGCCGCUAAUACCGCAUGACAUACCUGGAUGGCAUCGUCCGGGUAUCAAAGGAGAAAUCCGCUGAAGGGUGGGCUCGCGUCCGAUUAGCUAGUUGGUGAGGUAACGGCUCACCAAGGCGACGAUCGGUAGCCGAACUGAGAGGUUGAUCGGCCGCAUUGGGACUGAGACACGGCCCAGACUCCUACGGGAGGCAGCAUG
This 259-nucleotide ribosomal RNA is filed under the name uncultured bacterium. RNAcentral's name for it is "partial 16S ribosomal RNA". It matches the Rfam family "Bacterial small subunit ribosomal RNA", at positions 99 to 353 of the family's 1533-position model. The record is from RNAcentral.